AUAUUGGAAAAUGUUUACGCUUAUAAGUAGUGAGAAUACUUAGAACGGAAUCCGGUUAGAAUCCGGAGCAGAUCCUUUCCCUGCUGUAAGGACAACGAAAGAUGUAAAAAGUCACUGAAUGAAUCAGAUUUGGUAAGACACAUCGAGUAGGUUAAUUGGUCCUGAGCCAGAAGACGGAGCGUAAUAAAACAUUCCCG
This 197-nucleotide non-coding RNA is filed under the name Firmicutes bacterium CAG:227. Lineage: Bacteria; Bacillati; Bacillota. RNAcentral also lists the same sequence under 1 other name. The record is from RNAcentral.